Molecule: transfer RNA, 90 nt
Filed under: Cercophora newfieldiana
Lineage: Eukaryota; Fungi; Ascomycota; Sordariomycetes; Sordariales; Lasiosphaeriaceae
Rfam family: tRNA
About the family: Transfer RNA (tRNA) molecules are approximately 80 nucleotides in length. Their secondary structure includes four short double-helical elements and three loops (D, anti-codon, and T loops).
Source: Rfam by way of RNAcentral
GCCCGGCUAGCUCAAUCGGUAGAGCGUGAGACUCUUAUGAGAGAGAUCUCCAACAUCUCAAGGUUGUGGGUUCGACCCCCACGUCGGGCU